CCUACGGGAGGCUGCAGUGAGGAAUAUUGGUCAAUGGGCGCGAGCCUGAACCAGCCAAGUAGCGUGAAGGAUGACUGCCCUACGGGUUGUAAACUUCUUUUAUAAAGGAAUAAAGUGAGGCACGUGUGCCUUUUUGUAUGUACUUUAUGAAUAAGGAUCGGCUAAUUCCGUGCCAGCAGCCGCGGUAAUACGGAGGAUCCGAGCGUUAUCCGGAUUUAUUGGGUUUAAAGGGAGCGUAGAUGGGUUGUUAAGUCAGUUGUGAAAGUUUGCGGCUCAACCGUAAAAUUGCAAUUGAUACUGGCAGCCUUGAGUACAGUUGAGGUAGGCGGAAUUCGUGGUGUAGCGGUGAAAUGCUUAGAUAUCACGAAGAACUCCGAUUGCGAAGGCAGCUUACUAAACUGCCACUGACAUUGAUGCUCGAAAGUGUGGGUAUCGAACAGGAUUAGAUACCCCGGUAGUC
Molecule: ribosomal RNA, 460 nt
Filed under: uncultured bacterium
Lineage: Bacteria
Description: partial 16S ribosomal RNA
Rfam family: Bacterial small subunit ribosomal RNA
Source: RNAcentral